GUGCCUCGUCUUUGGUGAUUCCCCUACCCCCAAAUCAGAGAGGGUUCCGGAAGAAACUUCGCAGCCUUGCAGAGUGAAGCAUCGCCGGGACCCAAGGAUGUUUCUCUUCCCUACGGAGCUCACCCGGAUUCCUUGGCGCCCAGCUGCGGCCCCGGAGUCCCCGAACUCGGCUGUGCCAGCCCGGGGCGGGGCCAGCUGAACCUCAGUUGUGGGGCGGAGUCCGUUGCGGACACCCUCACCCCCCGGGCAACCGCAGCUCCCAACUCCGCUGGCUUUCCCCUCCCUCUGACACCCUGCGCGGCUCCUGCGACCCAGGUGCGUGCCAGCUGUAGGAGCCUGCUCCGCCUGCCCUCCUGGAACGCAGUCAUCCUCCAGGCCCUGCCCGCGCCCAUUUCGCGGCCCAGGAAACUGAGGUGUGGAAGCCUGUGAAGGGAGGGACUGCUACCUAUCGAUUCGUACCGGAUCCAGACCCUGUGCUAAACGCUCGGCGUGCAUGGUGCCCCUUAAUCCUCACAAAAGUCGAGCGACUUAGGGAGGAAUAUUAUCCCAUUGCACACACGAGCACACUGCUGCGCAGAGGCACGAAGGUACCUGCCCAGGGUCUCAGCUAGUCCCAUUUCCAACCCAGGAAGGCAAGGGAGCAACCCGGGAAGCAAAAUACGUGUCAACUGUGGACCAGAGAUGUCAAGCCACGUGCCCAAGGUCACCAAGCAGUUUCUGGGGAUCCCAUUGAGCACCUGAUUCCCUGUGUCCUUGGGCCAGCCACAUGACCCCUUGACCUGCUGCAUGUGGCCAUUCACAUCUGCCUUGAAUUUCGCAGAGGUCAUGGCUGAAGACCAGGAUUCUUGCUGAUGUCCUCAACAGGGGAGGCUCAAGAAGGAAAUUCCUACCCCUUCACCAUGUGAUCUCUGCAUACCAGCUACCUUUUGCCUUCUGACAUGAACGGAAGAAGCCUGCAGCCCUCACCAGAAGCAGAUGCUGAUGCCAUGCUUCUUGUACAGCCGGCAGAACU
Molecule: long non-coding RNA, 1012 nt
Filed under: Homo sapiens (human)
Lineage: Eukaryota; Metazoa; Chordata; Mammalia; Primates; Hominidae
Description: HSALNT0068482
Source: RNAcentral